UGGGGAAUAUUGCACAAUGGGGGAAACCCUGAUGCAGCAACGCCGCGUGCGGGAUGACGGCCUUCGGGUUGUAAACCGCUUUCAGCCAUGUCGAAGCUUUUGUGACGGUAGUGGCAGAAGAAGCACCGGCUAACUACGUGCCAGCAGCCGCGGUGAUACGUAGGGUGCGAGCGUUGUCCGGAAUUAUUGGGCGUAAAGAGCUUGUAGGCGGUUUGUCGCGUCGAAAGUGUAAACUCAGUGCUUAACGCUGAGCCUGCUUUCGAUACGGGCUGACUAGAGUAAGGUAGGGGAGAAUGGAAUUCCCGGUGGAGCGGUGGAAUGCGCAGAUAUCGGGAGGAACACCAGUGGCGAAGGCGGUUCUCUGGACCUUUCCUGACGCUGAGAAGCGAAAGCGUGGGUAGCAAACAGG
This 409-nucleotide ribosomal RNA is filed under the name bacterium. Its description in RNAcentral is "partial 16S ribosomal RNA". It matches the Rfam family "Bacterial small subunit ribosomal RNA", at positions 355 to 776 of the family's 1533-position model. The record is from RNAcentral.